Molecule: long non-coding RNA, 719 nt
Organism: Betta splendens (Siamese fighting fish)
Lineage: Eukaryota; Metazoa; Chordata; Actinopteri; Anabantiformes; Osphronemidae
Exons: 2
Source: RefSeq, a predicted model, not a curated record
CGGAGAAAAGGUAGGAGCCGAUGAAGGAGAACAUCAGCACCGAGACAGGCAGAGCGCAGUCAGACACCACCUCUCUGAUUCUGGGGUUCAGAUACGGGCUGCAGGAAAACAAAGGCACAGAACUCAACCAGCCUCAGUACAGGGGUAUUUUCAGGUCCAGCAGGUGAGCCUACCUCCUCUUAAUGAGAUAAAGGGUGUAACCCAGCCACAACGUGCCCAACAUGAGCAGCAAACACAGGACGGGACGGUCUCUGGUGCAUGACACCAGCUGCUCGGGCAGGAGGAGCAACCCCUGACCUCCGGCUGGUCCUAGUGAGCCUGCAGUCUGGUUUCCAGGCGUCUGCAUGAUGAUGUGAAGCGCCGACGAGGCGUUUGUGGUCACCAGCGUGGGCCCGUGGUAGAAGUGCUGGAAAACUGAGAGGAAACACGCAGUCUAUCGCAUGUUACACUCCUCGUUCCAGCAUCUGCCAUGGAUUCCAGCAGCUUAUCGGUGUAAUUCCCCCUUUACAUUAUUAUUCUCAGCAUGUUUAUUCAAGCAUAUUGAAGCAUUUUAGCCAUGAGAUUGAAGCGUUGCUCAGUUUUACUGUAGUUUAGCACACUCAUGACGGCCCGAGGCAUAUAAAUGAAGGAGGGAACACUCCAGAGAGUCCACCACAUGCCCAUUUACUCCCUAUUCUCACUCACAAAGCCCUUGUGAGAACGAUAUGAACAGCAGCAAC